RNAcentral lists this ribosomal RNA (819 nucleotides) under Escherichia coli. RNAcentral describes it as "partial 23S ribosomal RNA". It matches the Rfam family "Bacterial large subunit ribosomal RNA", at positions 1085 to 1888 of the family's 2925-position model. Lineage: Bacteria; Pseudomonadati; Pseudomonadota; Gammaproteobacteria; Enterobacterales; Enterobacteriaceae. The record is from RNAcentral.
CCAGACAGCCAGGAUGUUGGCUUAGAAGCAGCCAUCAUUUAAAGAAAGCGUAAUAGCUCACUGGUCGAGUCGGCCUGCGCGGAAGAUGUAACGGGGCUAAACCAUGCACCGAAGCUGCGGCAGCGACGCUUAUGCGUUGUUGGGUAGGGGAGCGUUCUGUAAGCCUGCGAAGGUGUGCUGUGAGGCAUGCUGGAGGUAUCAGAAGUGCGAAUGCUGACAUAAGUAACGAUAAAGCGGGUGAAAAGCCCGCUCGCCGGAAGACCAAGGGUUCCUGUCCAACGUUAAUCGGGGCAGGGUGAGUCGACCCCUAAGGCGAGGCCGAAAGGCGUAGUCGAUGGGAAACAGGUUAAUAUUCCUGUACUUGGUGUUACUGCGAAGGGGGGACGGAGAAGGCUAUGUUGGCCGGGCGACGGUUGUCCCGGUUUAAGCGUGUAGGCUGGUUUUCCAGGCAAAUCCGGAAAAUCAAGGCUGAGGCGUGAUGACGAGGCACUACGGUGCUGAAGCAACAAAUGCCCUGCUUCCAGGAAAAGCCUCUAAGCAUCAGGUAACAUCAAAUCGUACCCCAAACCGACACAGGUGGUCAGGUAGAGAAUACCAAGGCGCUUGAGAGAACUCGGGUGAAGGAACUAGGCAAAAUGGUGCCGUAACUUCGGGAGAAGGCACGCUGAUAUGUAGGUGAAGCGACUUGCUCGUGGAGCUGAAAUCAGUCGAAGAUACCAGCUGGCUGCAACUGUUUAUUAAAAACACAGCACUGUGCAAACACGAAAGUGGACGUAUACGGUGUGACGCCUGCCCGGUGCCGGAAGGUUAAUUGAUGGG